AUUGAACGCUGGCGGCAGGCCUAACACAUGCAAGUCGAACGGUAACAGGAAGCAGCUUGCUGCUUCGCUGACGAGUGGCGGACGGGUGAGUAAUGUCUGGGAAACUGCCUGAUGGAGGGGGAUAACUACUGGAAACGGUAGCUAAUACCGCAUAACGUCGCAAGACCAAAGAGGGGGACCUUAGGGCCUCUUGCCAUCGGAUGUGCCCAGAUGGGAUUAGCUAGUAGGUGGGGUAACGGCUCACCUAGGCGACGAUCCCUAGCUGGUCUGAGAGGAUGACCAGCCACACUGGAACUGAGACACGGUCCAGACUCCUACGGGAGGCAGCAGUGGGGAAUAUUGCACAAUGGGCGCAAGCCUGAUGCAGCCAUGCCGCGUGUAUGAAGAAGGCCUUCGGGUUGUAAAGUACUUUCAGCGGGGAGGAAGGGAGUAAAGUUAAUACCUGUGCUAAUUGACGUUACCCGCAGAAGAAGCACCGGCUAACUCCGUG
RNAcentral lists this ribosomal RNA (490 nucleotides) under uncultured bacterium. RNAcentral describes it as "partial 16S ribosomal RNA". It matches the Rfam family "Bacterial small subunit ribosomal RNA", at positions 30 to 507 of the family's 1533-position model. The record is from RNAcentral.